RNAcentral lists this ribosomal RNA (1246 nucleotides) under Polystira picta. Its description in RNAcentral is "16S ribosomal RNA". It matches the Rfam family "Bacterial large subunit ribosomal RNA", at positions 565 to 2608 of the family's 2925-position model. The record is from RNAcentral. Lineage: Eukaryota; Metazoa; Mollusca; Gastropoda; Neogastropoda; Turridae.
UAUAUCAGGGCAGUUAGAUACUUCACUUUUAAUUCUUUUAGAUUAAAACAUUAUUAGAUUUAGUAAAGGAGAUUAAAAAUUAUUGUAUAAUUCUUAAAUUCUAAGUACUGUAGAGGAAUGGCCCUAAUUAAAAGAAAGAAAAGAUUAAAUUUUGUACCUUUUGCAUCAUGGUUUAACUAGAUUUUAAUUGAAUAUAUUCAAYUUCUCGAAAUUUAAUGAGCUAUUUUUGACCUAUAUAUUAGUAAUUAAAGAGUAAUUGUGGCAAAAAUUUUCUUAGAGUUAAAAAUAGAAAUGAAAUUUUAUUCGCAUUAAAUGAUAGCUAGUUCUUCCGUAAAGGCAUAGAAGUGCUUUAGAUUAGUUGAUUUUUGAUUAUUAAAGUAACCAUAAAAUGAUUAAUCUAAUUAGACUUUUGAGGAUAAGCUCGAAAGUCUUAUUUAAACUAUUGUAUAUAUUUAUAGCUAGAAUUUAAGCUUGAAAAUAGCUAAAAUUUAGAUUUUGUUAUAAUUUCACUAGUAUAAAAUAAAAUAUAAUUGAUUUACUAUAAGCAGAACGAAGAAAUCUCUAAAACUAACUGAUGAGUUAUAUUUAUGUUAAAAUGAGUAUUAUUUAAAUUUUAUUUACUCAAAAAUUAAAUUUUUAGAACUUAUAUUUCUUUAUUUAGUUUAAAAUUAUAAAAAGGAACUCGGCAAAUAAACAUAUUCUGCCUGUUUAUUAAAAAACAUGGCUCCUUGUAGUAAAUAAAUAAGGAGUCGGACCUGCCCAGUGAAAGUUUUUUAACGGCCGCGGUACUCUGACCGUGCAAAGGUAGCAUAAUCAUUUGCCUUAUAAUUGAAGGCUGGUAUGAAUGGUUUGACAAGAAUAUAGCUGUCUCUUUAUAAUUUAAUAGAAUUUUAUUUUAAGGUGAAGAAGCCUUAAUCAAAUUAAAAGACAAGAAGACCCUAUCGAGCUUGAAAGAAUUUAAUGGAAUAUAUAGCAUUAAUAAUGAGUUAAAAAAUUAUUAUUAAAAAUUUUGGUUGGGGCGACUGAGGAACAAAAAUAGCUUCCUUUAAAACGUAAUAACAUACAUGUAUUGAUCCAGAAUUUUUGAUUAAAGAAAUUAGUUACCGUAGGGAUAACAGCAUUAUCCUCUUUGAGAGUUCUUAUCGAAAAGGGGGUUUGUGACCUCGAUGUUGGACCAGAAUAUCCUAAAGAUGCAGAAGUCUUUAAGGGUUGGUCUGUUCGACCAUUAAAAUUCUACGUGAUCUGA